RNAcentral lists this ribosomal RNA (587 nucleotides) under Aspergillus niger. RNAcentral's name for it is "partial large subunit ribosomal RNA". It matches the Rfam family "Eukaryotic large subunit ribosomal RNA", at positions 65 to 669 of the family's 3401-position model. Lineage: Eukaryota; Fungi; Ascomycota; Eurotiomycetes; Eurotiales; Aspergillaceae. The record is from RNAcentral.
CCCACCGGGGCAUGCUCAGUACGGCGAGUGAGCGGCAAGAGCUCAAAUUUGAAAGCUGGCUCCUUCGGAGUCCGCAUUGUAAUUUGCAGAGGAUGCUUUGGGUGCGGCCCCCGUCUAAGUGCCCUGGAACGGGCCGUCAGAGAGGGUGAGAAUCCCGUCUUGGGCGGGGUGUCCGUGCCCGUGUAAAGCUCCUUCGACGAGUCGAGUUGUUUGGGAAUGCAGCUCUAAAUGGGUGGUAAAUUUCAUCUAAAGCUAAAUACUGGCCGGAGACCGAUAGCGCACAAGUAGAGUGAUCGAAAGAUGAAAAGCACUUUGAAAAGAGAGUUAAACAGCACGUGAAAUUGUUGAAAGGGAAGCGCUUGCGACCAGACUCGCCCGCGGGGUUCAGCCGGCAUUCGUGCCGGUGUACUUCCCCGUGGGCGGGCCAGCGUCGGUUUGGGCGGCCGGUCAAAGGCCCCUGGAAUGUAGUGCCCUCCGGGGCACCUUAUAGCCAGGGGUGCAAUGCGGCCAGCCUGGACCGAGGAACGCGCUUCGGCACGGACGCUGGCAUAAUGGUCGUAAACGACCCGUCUUGAACCACGGACCAA